This 468-nucleotide ribosomal RNA is filed under the name uncultured bacterium. RNAcentral's name for it is "partial 16S ribosomal RNA". It matches the Rfam family "Bacterial small subunit ribosomal RNA", at positions 28 to 507 of the family's 1533-position model. The record is from RNAcentral.
GACGAACGCUGGCGGCGUGCUUAACACAUGCAAGUCGAACGGAAAGGCCCUGCUUUUGUGGGGUGCUCGAGUGGCGAACGGGUGCGUAACACGUGAGUAACCUGCCCUUGACUUUGGGAUAACUUCAGGAAACUGGGGCUAAUACCGGAUAGGAGCUCCUGCUGCAUGGUGGGGGUUGGAAAGUUUCGGCGGUUGGGGAUGGACUCGCGGCUUAUCAGCUUGUUGGUGGGGUAGUGGCUUACCAAGGCUUUGACGGGUAGCCGGCCUGAGAGGGUGACCGGGCACAUUGGGACUGAGAUACGGCCCAGACUCCUACGGGAGGCAGCAGUGGGGAAUAUUGCACAAUGGGCGGAAGCCGGAUGCAGCAACGCCGCGUGCGGGAUGACGGCCUUCGGGUUGUAAACCGCUUUCGCCUGUGACGAAGCGGGAGUGACGGUAAUGGGUAAAGAAGCACCGGCUAACUACGUG